RNAcentral lists this ribosomal RNA (485 nucleotides) under uncultured bacterium. Its description in RNAcentral is "bacterial SSU rRNA". It matches the Rfam family "Bacterial small subunit ribosomal RNA", at positions 29 to 507 of the family's 1533-position model. The record is from RNAcentral.
ACGAACGCUGGCGGCGUGCUUAACACAUGCAAGUCGAACGAUGAAAGCGGGAGCUUGCUCCUGCUGGAUUAGUGGCGAACGGGUGAGUAACACGUGAGCAAUCUGCCCCGAACUCUGGGAUAACGUAGCGAAAGUUACGCUAAUACCGCAUAUUCUGUGAGCAGGAAAGCAGGGGAUCGCAAGACCUUGCGCUGAUUGAGCGGCCGAUAUCAGAUUAGCUAGUUGGUGAGGUAAAGGCUCACCAAGGCGACGAUCUGUAGCGGGUCUGAGAGGAUGAUCCGCCACACUGGAACUGAGACACGGUCCAGACUCCUACGGGAGGCAGCAGUGGGAAUUUGGACAAUGGGGCAACCCUGAUCCAGCCAUGCCGCGUGAGUGAAGAAGGCCUUCGGGUUGUAAAGCUCUUUCGGCCGGGAAGAAAUCGUAUGGGCUAAUACCCUGUGCGGAUGACGGUACCGGCAUAAGAAGCACCGGCUAACUACGUG